RNAcentral lists this ribosomal RNA (451 nucleotides) under uncultured bacterium. RNAcentral's name for it is "bacterial SSU rRNA". It matches the Rfam family "Bacterial small subunit ribosomal RNA", at positions 29 to 469 of the family's 1533-position model. The record is from RNAcentral.
AAUGAACGCUGGCGGCGUGCUUUACACAUGCAAGUCGAGCGAGGCCUAUUGGAGAGCUUGCUCUCCGAUAGAGUCGAGCGGCGAACGGGUGAGUAACACGUGGAUAACCUGCCUUUGGAUGGGGGAUAGCCCGGGGAAACUCGGAUUAAUACCGCAUGAUACCGCAAGGUCAAAGAGGGCUUCGGCUCUCGUCUGGAGAGGGGUCCGCGUACGAUUAGCUAGUUGGUAGGGUAAUGGCCUACCAAGGCGACGAUCGUUAGCCGGCCUGAGAGGGUGAUCGGCCACACUGGAACUGAGACACGGUCCAGACUCCUACGGGAGGCAGCAGUGGGGAAUUUUGCGCAAUGGGGGAAACCCUGACGCAGCAACGCCGCGUGGAGGAUGAAGGCCUUUGGGUUGUAAACUCCUGUCAGUGGGGAAGAAAAUCCUAUGGGUUAAUACCCCGUAGGCU